GAUGAACGCUAGCGGCAGGCCUAACACAUGCAAGUCGAGGGGCAGCACGUCUUCGGAUGGUGGCGACCGGCGCACGGGUGCGUAACGCGUAUGCAACCUACCUCUUACAGUGGGAUAGCCCAGAGAAAUUUGGAUUAAUACCGCAUAGUAUACAGAUUCAGCAUUGGGACUGUAUUAAACAUUUAUGGGUAAGAGAUGGGCAUGCGUUCUAUUAGUUAGUUGGAGUGGUAACGGCACCCCAAGACAGCGAUAGAUAGGGCCCGUGAGAGGGGAGUCCCCACACUGGUACUGAGACACGGACCAGACUCCUACGGGAGGCAGCAGUGAGGAAUAUUGGACAAUGGGCGAGAGCCUGAUCCAGCAUGCCGCGUGAGUGAAGAAGGCCUGAGGGUUGUAAAGCACUUUCAAUCGUGAAGAAAAAGUUGCAGGCUAAUAACCCUGUGACC
RNAcentral lists this ribosomal RNA (446 nucleotides) under uncultured bacterium. Its description in RNAcentral is "bacterial SSU rRNA". It matches the Rfam family "Bacterial small subunit ribosomal RNA", at positions 28 to 474 of the family's 1533-position model. The record is from RNAcentral.